UUAGAAGGUGCAGGACACAACUCCUCAUGAUGAUCUCUGGAAGAAAAGAUGAGGGCCAACACACUGUAAACUUGUGAUUAAGGUGACAUUUUUCAGUCCAUAGACAUACAAGCUUUAUAUGUUUGCGUUCAGAACAAAUUUAUCUAUCUGGUGAUGUUUUCAGAUUGAAGAUGGGACCCACGGUUUGGCAUCUGGAAGCAUUUGUUUGAGAAAGUUUCAAGCCAUUCUGCUCUGUGUCUGAGCUGCAUGCAGUCCUUAAUUAGCAUAACAAAGGCUUCACUCUGACAGUCUGUGUGUCAGAGUGAAGUGUGUAUGUGUGUGGUCACACACACAUGAGGUUUUAAAUUACUUUAAAAAUGACCUUAAAAGUAUUUCCAUGUAUUUUAUCAAUUUUAUGUCUCUGAACCCAAGAGACUGACCUGGAGGGUUGCAGUAAAUCACCUCAUUUCAAGUACAAGUCAGUAACAGUGUUACAAACAUCAGGAAAGAAUAUACAUCUUUGAGGAAAUGUUACAUUCAACAACACAGUAGUCUCA
Epinephelus fuscoguttatus (brown-marbled grouper) is the source of this 536-nucleotide long non-coding RNA. RefSeq lists it as uncharacterized. The transcript is spliced from 3 exons. The record is from RefSeq and is a predicted model, not a curated record. NCBI's taxonomy places the organism in Eukaryota, Metazoa, Chordata, Actinopteri, Perciformes, Serranidae.